AGACAGACCAAGGUUCUCAGUUGGUGCCUUAUACCAGCAUGAGGCCUGCGGACCUCGGGGUGCUUCUGACCCAAGGCCUCUACAUUGCAGAUGAGGAAGCUGGGAGCCAGAGAAAUGACGCAAUUUGAUCAUCAGAGUUCAGCUUCUACUAGAAAGAGUUGAAGGACAUUUCAGUGGUUUCCAGUUUCUGACAAUUAAGAAUAAAGCAGCUGUGAACAAGCUUUUAUGUGGAGAUUUCUGUUUCCCUGUGGACAUCAUUAAUAGACCCCUACAUGUGCAGCUGGUAUGAAGAACAGGCCACCCGGAACUGG
This is a long non-coding RNA of Pteropus alecto (black flying fox), 311 nucleotides long. RefSeq lists it as uncharacterized. The record is from RefSeq and is a predicted model, not a curated record. The transcript has 3 exons. NCBI's taxonomy places the organism in Eukaryota, Metazoa, Chordata, Mammalia, Chiroptera, Pteropodidae.